GACGAACGCUGGCGGCGUGCUUAACACAUACAAGUCGAACGGAAAGGCCCUGCUUUUGUGGGGUGCUCGAGUGGCGAACGGGUGAGUAACACGUGAGUAACCUGCCCUUGACUUUGGGAUAACUUCAGGAAACUGGGGCUAAUACCGGAUAGGAGCUCCUGCUGCAUGGUGGGGGUUGGAAAGUUUCGGCGGUUGGGGAUGGACUCGCGGCUUAUCAGCUUGUUGGUGGGGUAGUGGCUUACCAAGGCUUUGACGGGUAGCCGGCCUGAGAGGGUGACCGGCCACAUUGGGACUGAGAUACGGCCCAGACUCCUACGGGAGGCAGCAGUGGGGAAUAUUGCACAAUGGGCGGAAGCCUGAUGCAGCAACGCCGCGUGCGGGAUGACGGCCUUCGGGUUGUAAACCGCUUUCGCCUGUGACGAAGCGUGAGUGGCGGUAAUGGGUAAAGAAGCACCGGCUAACUACGUG
This 468-nucleotide ribosomal RNA is filed under the name uncultured bacterium. Its description in RNAcentral is "partial 16S ribosomal RNA". It matches the Rfam family "Bacterial small subunit ribosomal RNA", at positions 28 to 507 of the family's 1533-position model. The record is from RNAcentral.